This 247-nucleotide ribosomal RNA is filed under the name Cryptosporidium meleagridis. RNAcentral's name for it is "partial small subunit ribosomal RNA". It matches the Rfam family "Eukaryotic small subunit ribosomal RNA", at positions 391 to 639 of the family's 1831-position model. Lineage: Eukaryota; Apicomplexa; Conoidasida; Eucoccidiorida; Cryptosporidiidae. The record is from RNAcentral.
GGAGCCUGAGAAACGGCUACAACAUCUAAGGAAGACAGCAGGCGCGCAAAUUACCCAAUCCUAAUACAGGGAGGUAGUGACAAGAAAUAACAAUACAGGACUUUUUGGUUUUGUAAUUGGAAUGAGUUAAGUAUAAACCCCUUUACAAGUAUCAAUUGGAGGGCAAGUCUGGUGCCAGCAGCCGCGGUAAUUCCAGCUCCAAUAGCGUAUAUUAAAGUUGUUGCAGUUAAAAAGCUCGUAGUUGGAU